RNAcentral lists this ribosomal RNA (253 nucleotides) under uncultured bacterium. RNAcentral describes it as "partial 16S ribosomal RNA". It matches the Rfam family "Bacterial small subunit ribosomal RNA", at positions 524 to 776 of the family's 1533-position model. The record is from RNAcentral.
GACAGAGGGUGCGAACGUUGCUCGGAAUCACUGGGCGUAAAGCGCACGUAGGCGGAUUGUUAAGUCAGGGGUGAAAUCCUGGAGCUCAACUCCAGAACUGCCUUUGAUACUGGCGAUCUCGAGUCCGGGAGAGGUGAGUGGAACUGCGAGUGUAGAGGUGAAAUUCGUAGAUAUUCGCAAGAACACCAGUGGCGAAGGCGGCUCACUGGCCCGGUACUGACGCUGAGGUGCGAAAGCGUGGGGAGCAAACAGG